AGCUCCAAUAGCGUAUAUUAAAGUUGUUGCGGUUAAAAAGCUCGUAGUUGGAUUUCUGUCGAGGUUGGGCGGUCCGCACUACGUGCGUGUAUCUGCUUUUCGGCCUUGGCAUCCUCUCGAUGUUCGUUACUGUGCUUGAUUGCAUGGUGCGGGGCUCGGGACUUUUACUUUGAGGAAAUUAGAGUGUUCACGGCAGGCUUUCGCCCUGAAUAUAUUAGCAUGGAAUAAUGAUAUAGGAUCUGAUGCCUAUUUUGUUGGUUUCUAGGCGUGAGAUAAUGAUUAAUAGGGACAAUUGGGGGGAUUCGUAUUAUGGCGUCAGAGGUGGAAUUCUUGGAUUGCCAUACGACGAACUACUGCGAAAGCAUUUCUCAAGGAUGUUUUCA
This 383-nucleotide ribosomal RNA is filed under the name uncultured eukaryote. RNAcentral describes it as "SSU rRNA". It matches the Rfam family "Eukaryotic small subunit ribosomal RNA", at positions 587 to 972 of the family's 1831-position model. The record is from RNAcentral.